Molecule: ribosomal RNA, 254 nt
Filed under: uncultured bacterium
Lineage: Bacteria
Description: partial 16S ribosomal RNA
Rfam family: Bacterial small subunit ribosomal RNA
Source: RNAcentral
UACGUAGGGGGCGAGCGUUGUCCGGAUUUAUUGGGCGUAAAAGGCUUGUAGGUGGCCACGCCAAGUCGGAUGUGAAAUCUCCCGGCUCAACUGGGAGGGGUCAUUCGAUACUGGCGGGCUCGAGGUCGGUAGGGGGAAGCGGAAUUCCGGGUGUAGUGGUGGAAUGCGUAGAUAUCCGGAGGAACACCAGAGGCGAAGGCGGCUUCCUGGACCGAUUCUGACACUGAGGAGCGAAAGCCAGGGGAGCAAACGGG